AGUUAUUUAUAAAGAAUUGUUUAUAAACAAUGUUCCACAGCCGGAAAUCGAGCAGAAACUAUAGUCUUAAUAUUCUGACAUCCUUCCGAACAACUUCCAAUAACCUUUUACCAUCAUAUUUUCAGUGCCCGAAACAGGCCUUUGAACAGGAAAAGGAAAUAUGCUCAUAUCAGUUGGAGAUUUUGUAGGAGUAAGCAAAACAUCUGCCUGUUCAAUUAGUUGCCAGAUUUCCACUGGUAAUUGGUGCGAUUGACUGCGCGCAUGUGAAAAUCCAGUCUCCUGGAGGAGAAGACGCUGAGCGGUUCCGUAAUAGAAAAUGAUACUUUUCAUGGAAUGUUCAGACAAUUUGCGAUGCGCAAUUGAAAAUAAUUGAAAUAGUGGCAAGGUGCCGGUGCAAGUGGCCGGGUUCAUGCCAUGACCAAACUAUUUUCAAUAACAGCAGAAUCAAGAGCAGAUUUUCCAAAGGUGAAUUCCCAAAUUGUGUUAUUUUGGGUGACAGUGGCUAUGGAAACACUAACUAUUUACUUACACCACUGUCAGAUCCUUUCACAGCUCCUGAAAAA
This is a long non-coding RNA of Dendroctonus ponderosae (mountain pine beetle), 563 nucleotides long. RefSeq lists it as uncharacterized. Lineage: Eukaryota; Metazoa; Arthropoda; Insecta; Coleoptera; Curculionidae. The record is from RefSeq and is a predicted model, not a curated record. The transcript has 2 exons.